This 735-nucleotide ribosomal RNA is filed under the name uncultured earthworm cast bacterium. RNAcentral's name for it is "bacterial SSU rRNA". It matches the Rfam family "Bacterial small subunit ribosomal RNA", at positions 32 to 779 of the family's 1533-position model. The record is from RNAcentral.
AACAGCUGGCGGCGUGCUUAACACAUGCAAGUCGAGCGGUAAGGCUCCUUCGGGAGUACACGAGCGGCGAACGGGUGAGUAACACGUGAGCAAUCUGCCCUCCACACGGGGAUAACUCCGGGAAACCGGUGCUAAUACCCGAUACGACCACCUCAGGCAUCUGAUGGUGGUGGAAAGUUCCGGCGGUGGAGGAUGAGCUCGCGGCCUAUCAGCUUGUUGGUGGGGUAACGGCCCACCAAGGCAACGACGGGUAGCCGGCCUGAGAGGGUGACCGGCCACACUGGGACUGAGACACGGCCCAGACUCCUACGGGAGGCAGCAGUGGGGAAUAUUGGACAAUGGGCGAAAGCCUGAUCCAGCAACGCCGCGUGAGGGAUGACGGCCUUCGGGUUGUAAACCUCUUUCAGUAGGGACGAAGCGCAAGUGACGGUACCUACAGAAGAAGCACCGGCCAACUACGUGCCAGCAGCCGCGGUAAUACGUAGGGUGCGAGCGUUGUCCGGAAUUAUUGGGCGUAAAGGGCUCGUAGGCGGUUUGUCGCGUCGAAAGUGAAAACUCAGGGCUUAACCCUGAGUCUGCUUCCGAUACGGGCAGACUAGAGGUAUGCAGGGGAGAACGGAAUUCCUGGUGUAGCGGUGAAAUGCGCAGAUAUCAGGAGGAACACCGGUGGCCGAAGGCGGUUCUCUGGGCAUUACCUGACGCUGAGGAGCGAAAGUGUGGGGAGCGAACAGGAUU